Molecule: ribosomal RNA, 902 nt
Filed under: Microdochium sp.
Lineage: Eukaryota; Fungi; Ascomycota; Sordariomycetes; Xylariales; Microdochiaceae
Description: partial large subunit ribosomal RNA
Rfam family: Eukaryotic large subunit ribosomal RNA
Source: RNAcentral
UAAGCAUAUCAAUAAGCGGAGGAAAAGAAACCAACAGGGAUUGCCCUAGUAACGGCGAGUGAAGCGGCAACAGCUCAAAUUUGAAAUCUGGCCUUCUGGUCCGAAUUGUAAUUUGUAGAGGAUGCUUUUGGUUAGGUACCUUUCGAGUUCCUUGGAACAGGACGCCUUAGAGGGUGAGAGCCCCGUACGAUUGGAUACCGAGCCUCUGUAAAGCUCCUUCGACGAGUCGAGUAGUUUGGGAAUGCUGCUCUAAAUGGGAGGUAAAUUUCUUCUAAAGCUAAAUACCGGCCAGAGACCGAUAGCGCACAAGUAGAGUGAUCGAAAGAUGAAAAGCACUUUGAAAAGAGGGUUAAAUAGUACGUGAAAUUGUUGAAAGGGAAGGGCUUAUGACCAGACCUUUGCCUUGCGGAUCAUCCGGUGUUCUCACCGGUGCACUCCGCUUGGUUGAGGCCAGCAUCAGUUUUGGCGGCCGGAUAAAGACUUCAGGAAUGUGACUCCCCCGGGAGUGUUAUAGCCUGCUGUGUAAUACGGCCGCUGGGACUGAGGACCGCGCUUCGGCUAGGAUGCUGGCAUAAUGGUCAUCAGCCACCCGUCUUGAAACACGGACCAAGGAGUCGAACAUUUAUGCGAGUUUUUGGGUGUUAAACCCUCAAGCGUAAUGAAAGUGAACGGAGGUGAGAGCCCUUACGGGUGCAUCAUCGACCGAUCCUGAUGUCUUCGGAUGGAUUUGAGUAAGAGCAUAACUGUUCGGACCCGAAAGAUGGUGAACUAUGCGUGGAUAGGGUGAAGCCAGAGGAAACUCUGGUGGAGGCUCGCAGCGGUUCUGACGUGCAAAUCGAUCGUCAAAUCUGCGCAUGGGGGCGAAAGACUAAUCGAACCAUCUAGUAGCUGGUUACCGCCGA